Molecule: ribosomal RNA, 496 nt
Filed under: uncultured bacterium
Lineage: Bacteria
Description: partial 16S ribosomal RNA
Rfam family: Bacterial small subunit ribosomal RNA
Source: RNAcentral
GAUGAACGCUGGCGGCGUGCCUAAUACAUGCAAGUCGAGCGAACAGACGAGGAGCUUGCUCCUCUGACGUUAGCGGCGGACGGGUGAGUAACACGUGGAUAACCUACCUAUAAGACUGGGAUAACUUCGGGAAACCGGAGCUAAUACCGGAUAAUAUAUUGAACCGCAUGGUUCAAUAGUGAAAGACGGUUUUGCUGUCACUUAUAGAUGGAUCCGCGCCGCAUUAGCUAGUUGGUAAGGUAACGGCUUACCAAGGCAACGAUGCGUAGCCGACCUGAGAGGGUGAUCGGCCACACUGGAACUGAGACACGGUCCAGACUCCUACGGGAGGCAGCAGUAGGGAAUCUUCCGCAAUGGGCGAAAGCCUGACGGAGCAACGCCGCGUGAGUGAUGAAGGUCUUCGGAUCGUAAAACUCUGUUAUGAGGGAAGAACAAAUGUGUAAGUAACUAUGCCCGUCUUGACGGUACCUAAUCAGAAAGCCACGGCUAACUACGU